UUAAUAAGCGGAGGAAAAGAAACUAACCAAGAUUCCCUCAGUAAGGGCGACUGAAGCGGGAAGAGCCCAUGCGAAAUCUGCGCUGCUUAGCGGCGCCGAAUUGUGGUUGGAAGACACUUGCGUUACUGACCGAACCAAGUCCCUUGGAACAGGGCAGCUGAGAGGGUGAGACUCCCGUCUGCUUGGUCAUGUGAGCGAGUUGUCCACGAGUCGAGUUGUUUGGGAUUGCAGCUCUAAGUGGGUGGUAAAUUCCAUCUAAGGCUAAAUACUGGUGGGAAACCGAUAGCGUACAAGUACCGUGAGGGAAAGAUGCAAAGAACUUUGAAAAGAGAGUUAAAGAGUACCUGAAAUUGCUGAAAAGGAAGCAAAGGAAACCAGUGCUAGAUGCGCCAUACUUCUGUCACCGCUUGCGGUGGCAGCGCUGUGGCCAUCGAUGUCAGACUUGGUUUGGGUGGGCCGAAAGUGCGGGCUUCUGGGGAGUUUGUUCCCUGCUGCUUGCCGCGGCCGUCCUGAAUGAGACUGGCGAAAUGGUUUUCUUUUCCCCG
RNAcentral lists this ribosomal RNA (545 nucleotides) under Stauroneis phoenicenteron. RNAcentral describes it as "eukaryotic LSU rRNA". It matches the Rfam family "Eukaryotic large subunit ribosomal RNA", at positions 43 to 651 of the family's 3401-position model. The record is from RNAcentral. Lineage: Eukaryota; Bacillariophyta; Bacillariophyceae; Naviculales; Stauroneidaceae.